UUCCCAAGCCAAGUCCCUACAGACCGAGUUACAUCACCUCUUCUCUGUUUGUGCUACAAUUUAAAAAACAAGAUUUUCCUCCCAUUUCUACAGUGGUCAUUCCCAAAAAAAGAAUGAUGUGAACAGACAAAGGUAUCUGGGUGCAACGCUUGUUUUUUGAGGUGGUUUGCCUAAUACAGAUGACGUAACAAGUCUGAAUGUUAAACAGUUUGAUCCUACCUGCAAAAAAAACAAAUGAAACCAUUGCACUUCUUGUCGGUGAUCGGUGUCUUGGCCUUGUAAAGGGCACAUCUCCUCCCUCCAGCUGUGAUGUGUUCAGCCAGAUGGAUGGUAUCACUCCCUCCAGUUGAGAAGGUAUCUGAAAACUUGCUCCGAGAGGACAGCAUGGUGCCAUCCGCGAUUCACACCCUGCUGCCAUCAAUAUGAAUAAAUGGAGACCUGAGUUGUUAAGAGCUCAUGCUGUUCUCUGUGCGCUGGCUGACAGAAGGAGGGGGUGAGAUGAAAGUGGAUGUCUAUGGUUUUGGUUGUCUUCUAGAGAUGAAAGACACAGAGCACCUCUAAUUGGA
Molecule: long non-coding RNA, 566 nt
Organism: Eleginops maclovinus (Patagonian blennie)
Lineage: Eukaryota; Metazoa; Chordata; Actinopteri; Perciformes; Eleginopidae
Exons: 3
Source: RefSeq, a predicted model, not a curated record